This 327-nucleotide ribosomal RNA is filed under the name uncultured eukaryote. RNAcentral's name for it is "partial 18S ribosomal RNA". It matches the Rfam family "Eukaryotic small subunit ribosomal RNA", at positions 1470 to 1796 of the family's 1831-position model. The record is from RNAcentral.
CCCUUAGAUGUUCUGGGCCGCACGCGCGCUACACUGAUUCAUGCAACAAGUUUUGUCCUUGGCUGAUAGGCCUGGGUAAUCUUUGAACGUGAAUCGUGAUGGGGAUAGAUGAUUGCAAUUAUUCAUCUUCAACGAGGAAUUCCUAGUAAACGCAAGCCAUCAGCUUGCAUUGAUUACGUCCCUGCCCUUUGUACACACCGCCCGUCGCACCUACCGAUUGAAUGGUCCGGUGAAAUCUUCGGAUCUGAGAGAUGUCUGAUUAAUUUCGGACGCCUUUUGGAAAAGUUGCUUAAACCUUACCAUUUAGAGGAAGGUGAAGUCGUAACA